UUGUAUUGCAAAUAUUCUGCUGGGCAAUCAAUAAACAAUGAGGACAAUUGCGAUUCAAAUGCUCACCCAAAUGAGCCAAAAAAAGAAAAAAGCAUAAUUGAUAGUUGACUACAAGUGCAUUGAACAAUAGCAAUUUACCGUUAGGCUUGGAAACAGAUAGACAAGUGACAAAUCAGUUAACUGAGAAAAAAUGGUAUAUAGAUUAGAAGCAGCUAACUGUGCCUAAAGCUGCAAAUUUUAAAAUUAGGCCUAAGUUGAUUUCCCUUCAUUUCGUCAGAUAUGAAGCCGAAACUAUGCCUAUGCAUUGAACUUCACCAAAAUAUACCCGCACUAUAUUGCUAAGGUAAUACCCAGCACGAAAAUAAUCCCUAACCCCUUGUUUGGGGGGAGGAGUUUUUUAAAGUACUAAGGUGUUUGUAUGUUUAAAAAUCUUGAACUUUUGCUUGGGGAGGAUAGAAGAUUGUUUAAAGUAUGAUGUCCAACCCACCAAAUUAGUGGGUUAAGGAGGUUCAAAUACUUUAAAAAAUUUUCAUUUUUUUUUAAACACUAAAAAAUUAUCAAUCUCUGAAAUUAUGAAUAUCAAAACCAUGAAAAAUCUUAUUUUAAAAAACUUUCCACUAUAAAAUCGUACUAUACUCUGCUCCUCCCAAAACAGAGGGUAAGGCGAUCAUACCUCAAAAGCAUUAAAAAGAAUUAAAAAAAGCCCUCUACUCUCAAUCUCAAAACAAAUUCAUAGCUCAGACAAGAAGAAACACGCUGCAGAGAUAUUAUACAAACCGUCUUCCUCAAGAUCGCUGCCAGAAUCGAUGGGUUCAAAUUUGUCUGUGGCGCCCUCGGACGCAGGCGGAUCAGGGACUUGAAGGGAUUCGGUCUCAAUGAUGUGAGAAGUACGGGAUCGGAUGCCAAGAAAAUUAGGGUUGGAAACAACACCGAAGGAUUUGUAGUUCUGGAUGACGCUAGCCUUGUCGUCCCAUUUGGAGCGAUCGGCGUCGGAGAGAGAGCGAAGCUUUGGAGGAAGAUUGAAGGCGGGCUUGAACACGCGUGGGUUCUUCUUAGGGAGACUCACCCGAACCUUAUGCCUUGAUGCCUUGUAUUUUCUUCUUGACCUUCCCAUCUCCCUCUCUCUCUCUCUCUACUCCCUCAGCCCUCUGCCUUCAACCGUCCAACAAUUGUCUUCUUUACUCGCAAAAUAAAUUUUUGAGCCGUAAACAGAGACCUCCAAUGGAGCCUUAAUGUUCCCAAUGAACUCGACAAGAUUCUGAAUUAUUUUUUCUUAACGAAACCGCACUUGUUCUGACUGAAAAAUCUCGCGGAUCUAGAAUAAUUCAACUGUUUUUUUUUUGUCAAUGAAACAGAUUAAUCAAUGACAAACGACGGUCUGUGAGGCACAGGAGGGGAUAUUUUGGAGAUUGAGAGAGAUGGUGGAUUUGAGGUUAGUCUUUCGAUUUCCAGGUAGAGAGUUCACCGGAUUUAAUGGAUAAACCGUCGUAGAGCAACAGUAGUGCCGUCGUCAAACUCCGGCGAGCACGUGAGCCCUGUGUCUCUCUCCUAUCCGUGCUCUCUGUAUCUAUCUCUAUCCCACGAAGUACAGAAAAUUGCUAAGUUUCCAUAGUUUUCUUCUUUCUCCGAUCUCCCAAUCGCUCUCCCAUAUCUGUCUUAUCUAAAUUUUUAGGUCUUCCUUUUCAGAAUUUCAGAAAAUUGAAGAAGAAGAAGAAGGGCAG
This 1721-nucleotide unclassified non-coding RNA is filed under the name Hevea brasiliensis (rubber tree). The record is from RNAcentral. Lineage: Eukaryota; Viridiplantae; Streptophyta; Magnoliopsida; Malpighiales; Euphorbiaceae.